This 253-nucleotide ribosomal RNA is filed under the name uncultured bacterium. Its description in RNAcentral is "partial 16S ribosomal RNA". It matches the Rfam family "Bacterial small subunit ribosomal RNA", at positions 524 to 776 of the family's 1533-position model. The record is from RNAcentral.
GACGUAGGGCGCGAGCGUUGUCCGGAAUCAUUGGGCGUAAAGCGCGUGUAGGCGGCCAGGGAGGUCCGUUGUGAAAACUCGAGGCUCAACCUCGAGACGCCGAUGGAAACCCCCUGGCUAGAGUCCGGAAGAGGAGAAUGGAAUUCCUGGUGUAGCGGUGAAAUGCGCAGAUAUCAGGAAGAACACCCGUGGCUAAGGCGGUUCUCUGGGACGGUACUGACGCUGAGACGCGAAAGCGUGGGGAGCGAACAGG